AAGAAAGUUAACAUUGAUUUUGAACAUUUCAAACCAAUUAAUACAUCAUUGUAUUUGUGUGACAACAAAUUCCAUACAGAAGCUCUUACAGCACUACUUUCAGAUGAAAGCAAGUCUGGAUUCAUCGUAAUAGAUGGUAGUGGUGCACUUUUUGGCACCCUCCAAGGAAACACAAGAGAAGUCCUGCAAAAACUCACUGUGGAUCUCCCAAAGAAACACGGUAAAGGUCAGUCAGCCUUGCGUUUUGCCUGUUUAAGAAUGGAAAAGUGACCUAACAAUGUUCAGAAAGUAGCAGAGACUGCUGUGCAGCUGUUUAUUUCUGGGGACAAAGGGAAGGUGGCUGGUCUAGUUUUAGCUGGAUCCGCUGACUUUAAAACUGAACUAAGUCAAUCUGAUACGUUUGAUCAGCGGUUACAAUCGAAAGUUUUAAAAUUAGUUGAUAUAUCCUAUGGUGGUGAAAAUGGAUUCAACCAAGCUGUUGGGCUAUCUACUGAAGUCCUCUCCAAAGUGAAAUUUAUUCAAAAGAAGAAAUUAGUAGGGAUACAUUGAUGAAAUCAGCCAGGACACAGGCAGGUACUGUUUUGGUGUUGAAGAUACACUAAAGGCUUUGGAAAUGGGAGCUGUAGAAAUUCUAAUAGCCUAUGAAAAUCUGAAUAUAAUGAGAUAUGUUCUUCAUUGCCAAGGCACAAAAGAGGAGAAAAUUCUCUAACUCCAGAGCAAGAACAGGAUAAAUCUCAUUUCACAGACAAAGAGACCAGGCAGGAACAUGCGCUUAUCAAGAGCAUGCCCCUGUUGAAAUGGUUUGCUAACAACUAUAAAAAAGUCGGAGCUACAUUGGAAAUUGUCACAUAUAAAUCACAAGAAGGGUCUCAGUUUGUGAAAGGAUUUGGUAGAAUUGGAGGUCUCUUGUGGUACCAAGUGGAUUUCCAAAGAAUGGAAUACCAAGGAGGAGACGAUGAAUUUUUUUACCUUGAUGACUACUAG
This 984-nucleotide long non-coding RNA is filed under the name Homo sapiens (human). Its description in RNAcentral is "non-protein coding lnc-ZNRD1-3:1". Lineage: Eukaryota; Metazoa; Chordata; Mammalia; Primates; Hominidae. The record is from RNAcentral.